CUGAAGAAUAAGCACCGGCUAACUACGUGCCAGCAGCCGCGGUAAUACGUAGGGUGCAAGCGUUAAUCGGAAUUACUGGGCGUAAAGCGUGCGCAGGCGGACUUUUAAGCCAGAUGUGAAAGCCCCGAGCUUAACUUGGGAAUUGCGUUUGGAACUGGGAGUCUAGAGUCUGUCAGAGGGGGAUGGAAUUCCACGUGUAGCAGUGAAAUGCGUAGAGAUGUGGAGGAACACCGAUGGCGAAGGCAGUCCCCUGGGAUAAGACUGACGCUCAUGCACGAAAGCGUGGGGAGCAAACAGGAUUAGAUACCCUGGUAGUCCACGCCCUAAACGAUGUCUACUAGUUGUUGGGGUAGCAAUACCUCAGUGACGCAGCUAACGCGUGAAGUAGACCGCCUGGGGGUACGGUCGCAAGAUUAAAACUCAAAGGAAUUGACGGGG
This 438-nucleotide ribosomal RNA is filed under the name uncultured bacterium. RNAcentral's name for it is "bacterial SSU rRNA". It matches the Rfam family "Bacterial small subunit ribosomal RNA", at positions 479 to 918 of the family's 1533-position model. The record is from RNAcentral.